This 250-nucleotide ribosomal RNA is filed under the name uncultured bacterium. RNAcentral describes it as "partial 16S ribosomal RNA". It matches the Rfam family "Bacterial small subunit ribosomal RNA", at positions 524 to 773 of the family's 1533-position model. The record is from RNAcentral.
UACGUAGGGAGCAAGCGUUGUCCGGAAUUACUGGGCGUAAAGGGCGCGUAGGCGGGGACUCAAGUCAGAUGUGAAAACUCCGGGCUCAACUUGGAGACUGCAUUUGAAACUGGGUUUCUUGAGGGCAGGAGAGGAAAGUGGAAUUCCUAGUGUAGCGGUGAAAUGCGUAGAUAUUAGGAGGAACACCAGUGGCGAAGGCGACUUUCUGGACUGUACCUGACGCUGAGGCGCGAAAGCGUGGGGAGCAAAC